RNAcentral lists this microRNA (22 nucleotides) under Mus musculus (house mouse). RNAcentral's name for it is "mmu-miR-219c-3p". Its record names the gene mmu-miR-219c-3p. Lineage: Eukaryota; Metazoa; Chordata; Mammalia; Rodentia; Muridae. The record is from miRBase by way of RNAcentral.
CGAGAAUUGCGUUUGGACAAUC